UUUUGCGCAAUGGAGGCAACUCUGACGCAGCCACGCCGCGUGCAGGAGGACGCCCCUACGGGGUGUAAACUGCUUUUCUGCGAGAAGAAGGCCUUGCUUUGGGCAGGGUGUGACGGUAUCGCAGGAAUAAGCACCGGCUAACUCCGUGCCAGCAGCCGCGGUAAUACGGAGGGUGCAAGCGUUAUCCGGAUUCACUGGGUUUAAAGGGUGCGUAGGUGGGUAUGUAAGUCAGUGGUGAAAUCCCCGAGCUUAACUUGGGAACUGCCGUUGAUACUAUAUAUCUUGAAUGUCGUAGAGGUAAGCGGAAUAUGUCAUGUAGCGGUGAAAUGCUUAGAGAUGACAUAGAACACCAAUUGCGAAGGCAGCUUGCUAUGCGAUUAUUGACACUGAGGCACGAAAGCGUGGGUAGC
Molecule: ribosomal RNA, 410 nt
Filed under: uncultured bacterium
Lineage: Bacteria
Description: bacterial SSU rRNA
Rfam family: Bacterial small subunit ribosomal RNA
Source: RNAcentral